UACGUUCCCGGGCCUUGUACACACCGCCCGUCACACCACGAAAGUGGGCAACACCCGAAGCCGGUGGCCUAACCGUAAGGAGGGAGCCGUCGAAGGUGGGGCUCGCGAUUGGGGUG
This 116-nucleotide ribosomal RNA is filed under the name uncultured bacterium. Its description in RNAcentral is "partial 16S ribosomal RNA". It matches the Rfam family "Bacterial small subunit ribosomal RNA", at positions 1367 to 1482 of the family's 1533-position model. The record is from RNAcentral.